AUUGAACGCUGGCGGCAGGCCUAACACAUGCAAGUCGAACGGUAACAGGAAGCAGCUUGCUGCUUCGCUGACGAGUGGCGGACGGGUGAGUAAUGUCUGGGAAGCUGCCUGAUGGAGGGGGAUAACUACUGGAAACGGUAGCUAAUACCGCAUAAUGUCGCAAGACCAAAGAGGGGGACCUUCGGGCCUCUUGCCAUCGGAUGUGCCCAGAUGGGAUUAGCUUGUUGGUGGGGUAACGGCUCACCAAGUCGACGAUCCCUAGCUGGUCUGAGAGGAUGACCAGCCACACUGGGACUGAGACACGGUCCAGACUCCUACGGGAGGCAGCAGUGGGGAAUAUUGCACAAUGGGCGCAAGCCUGAUGCAGCCAUGCCGCGUGUAUGAAGAAGGCCUUCGGGUUGUAAAGUACUUUCAGCGGGGAGGAAGGGAGUAAAGUUAAUACCUUUGCUCAUUGACGUUACCCGCAGAAGAAGCACCGGCUAACUCCGUG
Molecule: ribosomal RNA, 490 nt
Filed under: uncultured bacterium
Lineage: Bacteria
Description: partial 16S ribosomal RNA
Rfam family: Bacterial small subunit ribosomal RNA
Source: RNAcentral